RNAcentral lists this ribosomal RNA (374 nucleotides) under uncultured eukaryote. RNAcentral describes it as "partial 18S ribosomal RNA". It matches the Rfam family "Eukaryotic small subunit ribosomal RNA", at positions 592 to 975 of the family's 1831-position model. The record is from RNAcentral.
CAAUAGCGUAUAUUUAAGUUGUUGCAGUUAAAAAGCUCGUAGUUGGAUUUCGGUUAAGAGCGACCGGUCCGCCGUUUGGUGUGCACUGGUUGGUUUUAACUUCCUGUAGAGGACGUGCUCUGGGCUUAACGACCUGGACUCGGAGUCUACGUGGUUACUUUGAAAAAAUUAGAGUGUUCAAAGCGGGCUUACGCUUGAAUAUUUCAGCAUGGAAUAACACUAUAGGACUCCUGUCCUAUUUCGUUGGUCUCGGGACGGGAGUAAUGAUUAAGAGGAACAGUUGGGGGCAUUCGUAUUUCAUUGUCAGAGGUGAAAUUCUUGGAUUUAUGAAAGACGAACUUCUGCGAAAGCAUUUGCCAAGGAUGUUUUCAUUA